AGGGGCAUAGUUCAGAGGCAGAGCAUUUGACUACAGAUCAAGAGUUCCUUGGUUCAAAACCAGAUGCCCCCU
Non-coding RNA from Fukomys damarensis (Damara mole-rat), 72 nucleotides. The record is from Rfam. NCBI's taxonomy places the organism in Eukaryota, Metazoa, Chordata, Mammalia, Rodentia, Bathyergidae.